GGACCGACCGCUAAAUCGCCCGCCCAGACCACUGCGCCAGGUAGGAUGGC
Molecule: unclassified non-coding RNA, 50 nt
Filed under: Sorangium cellulosum So ce56
Lineage: Bacteria; Pseudomonadati; Myxococcota; Polyangiales; Polyangiaceae
Description: sce_s2m_78
Source: RNAcentral